UUGCAGUGACUGAAAUUGAUGCACAAGAUGCUAAAAAGACGGAUAAGCUGAGCUAUGCAUUGGCGGUUGUCACGUCAAUUCAAUUAUAAACUAAUUGUGGAACACAAGGGGUGGACUAGUUGGCGAAGAUGAUAAGGCAAACGGUCUGUGACAACUAAUCCAUCAAGCUAAGAAACUGGAGGAUUGGGAGGAGCAAAUAUUGAGUGGUCAAGCUCAUCCGAAUGCUCCUGCUAAUGUUGUUUGAAGCAAGAAAACUCGCCACCAGGUAGCUUUGUGUACGGAAAUCAUGGUAAUGGGAAUAGUAAUGAAGAUUUCCAGUCUGCAGCUUUGUGCUCUUUGUCUCAAAUUAUGCCAACCACUACUGCUGCCUCAGCCUCAUCUCCUAAGUCGUCUUGUGUGACGAGUUUCUGUAGCAACUUGUUGGAUUUCUCUAACAAGUCGGAGGGGAGGCAUCCACCACCGAGCCGAUCCAGCUCCGAGUGUAACAGCAGUGCAAGUGUGCAACUGGUGAGGCAGUUAAGAAAGCUAGGGCUCAACCUUCUUCUUCAGCCCAACCUACCUUCAAGCUAUAACUUCAGGGUGAGGAAGGAGAAAUUAGGCGACAGAAUUACAGCUCUUCAUCAGCUGGUUUCCCCAUUUGGGAAGACUGACACAGCUCUGUUUUGUUAGAGGCUAUUGGGUAUAUCAGAUUCAAAAUGAGGCCCUGAGCUUACCUUACUUGGGCAGUGGAUCACCAAACAUGUGCCAGCAGCAGCAACAGUCUGCAGUUCAUGGGGAGAGGAACUGUAAGUUUCCUGAGGCCAGAUUGAUGAGAGGAUGAAAGAUGCUCUUCAGGUUGACUGUACCAAUAUGCCCCAGUUAUCGAACUUAUCAAUGUGCUUGUCACAAAGCCGAAGAUUCCUGAUAGUAUCAGAAGAAACUUUGAGCAAAUGGAGGAAGAGCGCACUAAGGCAACUGAGCAUGUGGGAGUAGUUAGGCUUUCCAGAUUAUAUUACUGGGAUAUACCUGUUGCUGUAACAACUGUUGUUGGCUCAAAUGAGGGUCCAAGGCCUGAAGAAGACUAUGUUGACUUGAUUAUCUGGAAGGAAAAUUGGAUAAUGCGCAUCCAAUAUGUCAUGUAACAAGUUGUUUAUACACAACUCUUGGACAUGUACAAUUCUUGGACCGGCACCACCUGCUAAUAAAGUUUGGUAGUGUAGAGGGAGUGAUAUCACGUAAUACUGAUCUCCACCUAGCUGUGAAGUGGCUUGAAAGCUUUGUGGGUCUCAAAAUGGCUCCUUUCAGGUAUCAUCAGUAUCAGGUUGUGGGGAGAGCUCUCCCAACUGAGAAGGAUGAGCAUCCCAAGAUCUUCCACAUGGCACACCAAUGAGGUCCAUGCCAAAUCCAAAUUUUGGUACUUGGUGAGGAACUUGAAGAAGGUGAAGAAGAGCAAUGGGAAAAUCUUGGCCAUCAAUGAGUACUUUGAGAAUGUCCGAAACUUCCUGGUUGCUGCUGAAGAGUUGAAGCUGCCCGCUUUUGAAGCUUCUGAUCUUGGAAGGGACACAUUAGAGGCAGGAUCAGCAGGGACGUUGUUGAUUGUCUUUCAGCCCUUAGAUCAUAUAAUGAGUGGAAGCAGAUGCGCAAUGAAUAUGGAAACAUGGAAGGAAUUUGAAGAGGGUUUCAUAGCAUUGUAGAGGGUAUAUUGAAAUGAGUUGUGAGGUGUGGUUCGGAGUCAUAGUUGUAAUAUGUUGGAUAUAAUUUUGCCAUUUACUACGUAGCUUUGCGAUCUUGCACCAAGUCCCGGAAGGUCAUGUUGGAGUUGCUCUUUUAAAGACUAUUACUGAUACAGAUCGAUCAAGUAAUUUUCUGAUCUAAACGCAAUAUGACCAUGUUCAAGUCACCUUUCAGAUCCACCAAGUGAGGGAUAUUCCAUGCGGUACAAAAGGGGGUGUCAUGACCGACUUUGAGAAGAUAGAGGUUGUAAACAGGCUGCGUAAGGAAUAUGUGUAUGAGAAACUUCUCAAUUAUGGUGUGCGCUAUGACAAGACAUGGAUCUAUGACAAAAUUCAUCAUGAGAUCAAUCAGUUCUGCAGCUUGAAUUCUCUGCAAGAUGUCUAUAUUGAUGUGUUUGAUCAGUUUUGUUUUGGUAUCCAUUUGCAUUUGGAUAUAGACUGUUGGUACUGCAUCACUUGGAACUUGAGGAUGGCAUAAGUCACCUGAACUUGGGAAAGAACAGAGAGGUAGGUGAUCAUGUUUAAGCUAUGCUUGAAGCUGCAAGGUGAGUUUUCCAAAGCAUCAUUACUCAGAUACUAUCUAUCUGUGCAUUUUGGAGUUUUGUUUUGGUAUCCGUUUUCAUUUGGAUAUAGACUGUUGGUACUGCAUCACUUGGAACUUGAGGAUGGCAUAAGUCACCUGAGCUCGGGAAAGGUUUUUGGAUUUGCCCUGAGCUUACUUUACUUGGGCAGUGGAUCACCAAACAUGUGCCUGCAGCAGCAACAGUCUGCAGUUCAUGGGGAGAGUAACUCUGCUGAAUGAUAACUGCAUGAAGAUGAAAGGAGUUAGUGCCGAGUAGGUUGCUUAUGAAGAGUCAAAGAAGGACCUGAGGAGUAGGGGUUUGUGUUUCGUUCCGAUUUCUUGUACCCUUCAAGUUGGGAGCGACAACAGAGCAGAUUACUCACUAUUGUAAAAUUUAGGAUUUCAUCUCAAGCCGUCUCUGAUAACCCAGUAUGACCAUGUUCAAGUCAUCCUUCAAAUCGAUCAAGUGAGGGAUAUUCCAUACAAAAGGGGGUGUCAUGAUUAACUUUGAGAAGAUUGAGGUUGUGAACAAGCUGCGUAAAGAAUAUGGGUAUGAGACACUUCUCAAUUAUGUUGUGCACUAUGACAAGAUGUGGAUCUAUGACAAAAUUCAUCAAGAGAUCAAUCAGUUCUGUAGCUUGAAUUCUCUCAAUAUGUCGAUCUAUAUUGAUGUGUUUGAUCAGAUUGAUGAGAGGAUGAAAGAUGCUCUUCAGGUUGACUGUACCAAUAUGCCCGAGUUAUCGAAAUUAUCAAUGUGCUUGUCACAAAGCCGAAGAUUCCUGAUAGUAUCAGAAGAAACUUUGAGCAAAUGGAGGAAGAGCGCACUAAGGCAACUGAGCAGGUGGGAGUAGUUAGGCUUUCCAGAUUAUAUUACUGGGAUAUACCUGCUGCUGUAACAACUGUUGUUGGCUCAAAUGGU
Molecule: long non-coding RNA, 3193 nt
Organism: Argentina anserina (silverweed cinquefoil)
Lineage: Eukaryota; Viridiplantae; Streptophyta; Magnoliopsida; Rosales; Rosaceae
Exons: 31
Source: RefSeq, a predicted model, not a curated record